RNAcentral lists this long non-coding RNA (769 nucleotides) under Lupinus angustifolius (narrow-leaved blue lupine). Its description in RNAcentral is "long non-coding RNA (LANG_LNC000265)". Lineage: Eukaryota; Viridiplantae; Streptophyta; Magnoliopsida; Fabales; Fabaceae. The record is from RNAcentral.
UUACAUAUUAGUGACAGUGCACAAUGGAAGCUCUGGUGUGUGAUUAUCAAAAUGUUAUCUUAACUCAUAAAAAAAAUGUUAUUUUGGACUUACAAAAAUGUUAUCUUGAAAUGAGAAGAAUAAAAAAGCUCCAUCAAAAAAAAUGGAAAGACAUUAGUAGACGUCGAACUAAAUAGCAAGAAUAUAAAAAAUCAUACCUUUGAGUGAACAUUGUUGUAACUCUUCAACUCUUUGAACACAAAAAAAAUAUAAGUUAUAAGAUCUGAUGAUAAAUAAAUUGUAAGGAAAAACGAAAUAGUAGUAACAUGAAAAGUCAUACCUUUGAGUGAACAUUGCUGUAACUCUUUAACAUAAAAAAUAGAAGUUAUAAGAUUCUCUGAAAAAUAAAUUGUAAGGAAAAUGUCAUAAGAUCUGAUGAUUAAAGAAGUUAUAAGAUCUGAUGAUUAAAGAAAUUGUAUGACAAAACGUUGAGCUAAAUAGCAAAAACAUGAAAAACCAUACUUUCGAGUGAACAUUGUUGUAACUCUUCAACUCUUUAAACACAAAAAAACUGAAGUUAUUAGAUUUGAUGAUAAAAAUUGUAAGAAAAAAUCAUACAUACGAACGAAGAACCCGCCGAUGUCAUUCAUGGGUAAAGUAGUUGUGGCUAGGAUGAAGAAAUAAGUUCGCUCAAGCAAAAAUGGAGAACUUUUAGUGGAAGAAAAAAGGGGGGAACUUUCAAUGAAGAAGAAAAGAAAUAGAGAAUAAUGAAGAAGAAAGAAAGAGAGAU